UGGGAUAGCUCAGUUGGCAGAGCUUUAGACUCUUAAUCACAGAGUCGUGGGUCUGAGCCCCACACUGGGCAAAA
Molecule: non-coding RNA, 74 nt
Organism: Podarcis lilfordi (Lilford's wall lizard)
Lineage: Eukaryota; Metazoa; Chordata; Lepidosauria; Squamata; Lacertidae
Source: the annotation of a GenBank genome assembly